AUGAUGAUAAUAAUAAUAGUAAUAACAAUAAUAACAAUGUUGAUGAUGAUGAUGAAGAUGAAGAUGAUGGUGACAAGUAGAAGAAGAUUAAGAAGAAGACCAUAGUGAUGGCAGUUUGAAGAGAGGCAGAUAGGACGGAAAGGCUUAAAUAUUAUUCAGAGUACCAUAUCUUAACAAGCAUUCAUCAUUGGUGCACACAGGCACAACCUCCGCCAUCUCGACCCACUGUCCCUAUGAAUAAUAAUAAUAGUAAUAGUAAUAACGUCGCUGUUGAUGAUGAUGAUGGCGACGACAAAUAGAAGAAGACGACAGUGAUGGCAGUAUGAAGAGUGGCAGAAGGGACG
Molecule: long non-coding RNA, 344 nt
Filed under: Medicago truncatula (barrel medic)
Lineage: Eukaryota; Viridiplantae; Streptophyta; Magnoliopsida; Fabales; Fabaceae
Description: lncRNA gene5765
Source: RNAcentral